GGGAAAACAGAGGAAAAUUACAAUUCAAGACACAUCAGAGGCUUCUUUUGUUUCUGUAUCAACAAUAAACACCAGUUAUGACACACCCUGCAAAUUUUUCUGGUUUUACAACUCUACAUUCUUCAUUUGUGAAAAAUAAUCCAGCUAUUUUGAUUGGCUGUAUGUGAACAAGACAGAGUAUAAAUACAGAAGGAAAAUAAGUUGAGAGAAAUCAUUUCUCUUAGACAGAGACACCACAUCAGCUGAUACCUGCUGACACAGCAACAUCACCGCUUCUGGCUGACUUGUCAAAAAUUCAGCAAAAAUAAGAAGCAGCUGUAGAACCAGAGUAUCUGCCAACCCGCUGAGCAAUCCAGAGCAUCACAACGCAAAGAGAAAUACAAGAUGGCAGCUCGUCCUUUUGAAUACCCUGAAGAAUGUAACGAAGUUGACAUUAGAGAGCAAACACUGAGUGCAAAUCCAGACACUCUCUAUUAUGAUAAAAGAAAAUGUGAAAAAUAUAACCUGAUUUUCAAAAGCCAGUAUCCUCUAAGCGACUGGCAGAAUGUCAUUAAGAUAAAAUAUCCAAAUCUUGAGGAAAGUCAAGAGACUGUGGUCAGACUCAAGUCGGUCGACGGUAC
Molecule: long non-coding RNA, 620 nt
Organism: Micropterus salmoides (largemouth bass)
Lineage: Eukaryota; Metazoa; Chordata; Actinopteri; Centrarchiformes; Centrarchidae
Exons: 3
Source: RefSeq, a predicted model, not a curated record